Long non-coding RNA from Ornithorhynchus anatinus (platypus), 605 nucleotides. RefSeq lists it as uncharacterized. The record is from RefSeq and is a predicted model, not a curated record. The transcript has 3 exons. Lineage: Eukaryota; Metazoa; Chordata; Mammalia; Monotremata; Ornithorhynchidae.
ACCAGGGCCAGCUGGUUAGGAUCAAACCAGUCAAGAGUUUUAACUUCCCAAACCCAGGGAGAGAAAGUAUCCUGAAGCAAAGAAGGUCCUGUGAAGGUUGGAAGAAGUUUUGAAGACAUGAGAUCAUCACAAUACAUCCAGUGAUGUGAAUCCACCUGAUGGAACAUCUUUCUUGCCACAGAAUAACCGAAUUAUUCAUCAGCAAGAGUGUCUCCUAGCAGUAACCAGAAAUCUUUUUUUUAACUUUGAGGAAAGAUGAAUCAUGCCAAUUUCAUACUGAAAGAGAGGGAGCGACUAGUCCACUGACAUGAAGCCUUCACCGCAGUAGCCUGAGAGUCUGAGUCAGAGUAACUACUACUCCUCUCGUUCUGUCAUCUCAACUCCUCUACCCUUUCCUGAAAUGGACAAUAUGUGAGCUGGAAAUAGAUGACCGAAAACCGUACAGUAACUUGCAGAAGCACGCGACCGAGCUGCCGCUUCCAACGCCACAUAGAGAAAUCCCCGCGUAUUGUAGAAAGAUCCUACUUUGCCUCACAUCAUUCCGCAAGAGAGACAUCAGUUCUGCUUUCUUUAGUAAGCUCUCAAUAAACACCGUUGAUUGAUUU